AUCUGUCUAGCCAGCCUGGUUUAUGUGUUGGACUACGACUCUGGAGACCAAGGUUCGAAUCCCUGCUCAGCUG
Non-coding RNA from Phrynosoma platyrhinos (Desert horned lizard), 73 nucleotides. The record is from the annotation of a GenBank genome assembly. NCBI's taxonomy places the organism in Eukaryota, Metazoa, Chordata, Lepidosauria, Squamata, Phrynosomatidae.